GUUAGAGUUCUAUGCCACAAGAAAGACCGUAAUGCCUCCAAGUUCCUGAAGCGUCAGUACGAGCUCCCUAUGUCAUCAGAAUAUGAAGAUGUUACAUCAAAUCUGCCUGCUUUAUCUGAAAUCGUGAGAAGCACAUCUACCCGCUGGAGCACAACAAGCCAGAAUAGUUUCAGUUCC
Molecule: non-coding RNA, 177 nt
Organism: Camelina sativa (false flax)
Lineage: Eukaryota; Viridiplantae; Streptophyta; Magnoliopsida; Brassicales; Brassicaceae
Source: RefSeq, a predicted model, not a curated record